AAGUCGUAACAAGGUUUCCGUAGGUGAACCUGCCCAACGUUAAACAACCCUGUGAACUUUAAGUCCCCUCUUGCAGCCCAUGAGGAACAGCAAUCCCGGUAAAUCAUUGCCAAACAGUUUUGAUUCGGGACCUCUGUCCAAAAGGAGUUGCAAUCGAAGGGUGGAAGCAGUGGCAUGGCUUCCCCAAGCAGUUAGUGAAUGACAGUGUCACUGACUGUGUAAGGAUAACGCCUCACGGUUGCUAGAGGUCGAUCACCGACCGGCAGACAUGUCACAGGGUCACCACGCCCCUUAAUCACUCCACUUGAAAAUGCCCCGCCUAGUGGUAACGCGCUAGGUAAAAAAAACCGAACAACUGUUAACAAUGGAUAUCUUGGUUCUC
RNAcentral lists this unclassified non-coding RNA (382 nucleotides) under fungal sp. RNAcentral's name for it is "partial internal transcribed spacer region". Lineage: Eukaryota; Fungi. The record is from RNAcentral.